ACAAUGGAGAGUUUGAUCCUGGCUCAGGAUGAACGCUAGCGGCAGGCCUAAUACAUGCAAGUCGAACGGGCGGUAGCAAUACCGCUAGUGGCGCACGGGUGCGUAACGCGUAGGCAAUCUGCC
This is a ribosomal RNA of Hymenobacter sp. CRA2, 123 nucleotides long. It matches the Rfam family "Bacterial small subunit ribosomal RNA", at positions 1 to 130 of the family's 1533-position model. The record is from Rfam. NCBI's taxonomy places the organism in Bacteria, Pseudomonadati, Bacteroidota, Cytophagia, Cytophagales, Hymenobacteraceae.